RNAcentral lists this ribosomal RNA (775 nucleotides) under uncultured Neocallimastigales. RNAcentral's name for it is "partial large subunit ribosomal RNA". It matches the Rfam family "Eukaryotic large subunit ribosomal RNA", at positions 26 to 641 of the family's 3401-position model. The record is from RNAcentral. Lineage: Eukaryota; Fungi; Neocallimastigomycota; Neocallimastigomycetes; Neocallimastigales.
CGCAUCUGUGCAUGCAGCAUAUCAAUAAGCGGAGGAAAAGGAACUAACAAGGAUUCCCCUAGUAACGGCGAGUGAAGCGGGAAGAGCUCAAAUUUGAAAUCUUAAAGGGUUUCCCUUUACGAAUUGUAGUUUAAAGAAGUGUUUUCUGUUGAGGUUUUGGUAAAAGUUCUUUGGAAUAGGACAUCAUAGAGGGUGAGAAUCCCGUAUUUGACCUUUACUUUCAACUUUGUGAUACACUUUCAAAGAGUCGGAUUGUUUGGGAAUGCAGUCCAAAAUGGGUGGUAAAUUUCAUCUAAAGCUAAAUAUUGGCGAGAGACCGAUAGCGAACAAGUACCGUGAGGGAAAGAUGAAAAGAACUUUGAAAAGAGAGUUAAACAGUACGUGAAAUUGUCAAAAGGGAAGCGUUUGACACCAGUGUUGUUUUUCUGAAAAUCAAUUAAAGAACUGUUUAUGCUAAGUUGUUUAGACUUUAUCAGCUAACUGUUUAGUUUUGAGCUUUUCUUUAAUGCACUUUUCAGUUAACAAGUCAACAUCAAUUUCUUUUGCUGUAAAAAAGCUUGAGGAAGGUGGCUUGAGAUUCGUCUUAAGUGUUUAUAGCCUCUUGCCUAUGCAGUCGGAGAGAUUGAGGUCUGCAGCGUAGAUCCUUCGGGGCUAAAUGCAUUUGUGCUAAGUUAUAAGCAUUUUAUAGACAACUUGUUGACUAUGAUUUGUCUUGUAGCUUACUCGCUUAUGUUAUUUUACCUACGCUUAGGAUGUUGAUAGUCACAGCGUGUAC